CUAGAGUGGUCAGCUGACUCUCUCAGCCAAUCGCUAAUUCCUGGUUCCUAAAAAUGUUUUACUUUUUUAUGAAUGGGGAGCUACUGAUUGGCUUAGAGUGCUAGAUGACAGCUCUAGCCAAUCAGCGACACCCCUACCCAGCGCCACUCUGUGUUUCCUGACAAUCAGUAAAUAAAAUUGAACACAGUAACACUGAUAUUUUUUUUUUACCUGGCGAUAUGAGAAGGUCCAAAGUUUCCCUGCCAGGCCCAGGUACCAAAGCAUUAUGAUGUGGUGUCCAGAAUAAAGUGGAGGGUUCACUUGUCCUUCCUGCUGCAAUCUCCUUUUCUUCUCCUUCAUUUGACACAGUCUUCUUUUUCUUCUGACACUGUCUUCUCUCCUUCUGCUGCUUUACCUUUCUGCUACUUUCUGCUUAUUUUGCGCCCUUCUCCUCCUUUCUCUUUCUGAUCCCUUUCUGCUCCUUCUCCUACUUUACCUUUGUGCUCCUUCUGAUUAUUUCUGCUCCUUCUGUCC
Pelobates cultripes (western spadefoot toad) is the source of this 513-nucleotide non-coding RNA. Lineage: Eukaryota; Metazoa; Chordata; Amphibia; Anura; Pelobatidae. The record is from the annotation of a GenBank genome assembly.